Long non-coding RNA from Cynoglossus semilaevis (tongue sole), 3132 nucleotides. RefSeq lists it as uncharacterized. Lineage: Eukaryota; Metazoa; Chordata; Actinopteri; Pleuronectiformes; Cynoglossidae. The transcript has 4 exons. The record is from RefSeq and is a predicted model, not a curated record.
UUUGUUUUUUGCUGCAUGGCUACUCCCUCAUUUAGACAUCACUCAUCGCUCACACGCAUUCCCUGCUCAUGUUUGUAAAUUGCGUGUCAAAAUUCCAUUAGGUUUUCAAAAACACCGUUUAAAGAGUGAUCAUCCCAUCCGGAAAUUCCUAAAAGGAUCUUAACGGAGAACUAUUUGAAUUUUUGCUUCACUUCCUCUAUGGUUGCUUUAUAAUGGAGUCAGCUCUGAACCACUGACAUUUGCUGUUAAUCUGUGGCUCAAACAAACAGAUGAAAAAGCAGAGACGUCUUCUAACAAUGCAGCUCCGUGGAUGUAAAACAUCAACUUCUAAUCCACUUGUACAGUAGAAAUGUGGGACAGAAGAGUUGGUUUUUUUCUUCAUUUAUUUAAAUAUAAUCUGUCUAAAAGGAACAGGCUGUGACUAAAUAGCUGAGUUGAUUGUGAAGGGCUAAGCACAAAGACGACAGCUGCCGUGACAGAAAAAAAAUACAAAAAACUUCAGGAGAUGCCAACGUGACACAAAUAGCUGCUUCCUAUUCCAAAAACUUUUAUUUGAACAGAGUUUUAUGCAUGUUUAAUUUAGUUGUUUUUCUGCCUCCAUCUCUGUCAGGCAGCCAGAGGACAGCUACAUUCAAGGACAUUUGUGUAAAAGUUCCAGGAAAGUGGAGUGAAGGCCACGCAAACAAGCAGGAAAUCAGUAAUACUAGGUGGAGGCCCACAAACGACACAUGACACUUCAGGUUUGGCCCAUUUCUGCUUCCCUGUGCUUUUCUCUCAACAUUCCUGACAUGCUCCUCGUCUGACUCCUCUUUCAUCUCCAGAUUACAGACUACGUCAAAGUCCUUGGCUCCUGUCAGCCAGGAGUUGGAUCCUUUGAUCUGGAUUGAGAUGACAAGGUUGUGUGAAAACGGAGGAGCAGACCUUCUCUGUCACUACCAGGGAAAAACAGUCAACGGCAGUCCUUCAGUUCACCUGUACAGCUGCACAAGAACCCGAGGCGUCCGGUUCUUGUGUUCUGACCUUGAUUUCCACUUGUACUUCCAGUGGGCUGCGCCGUUGUCAUGCCCACUGAGUUUGUUUUCUGUGGAGAGCCAGCUGAAAUGAGGUAAAGCUGGUCUGUGGGCAAGAAGUCAAGCCCCCGAGGAAGAGACAAGACAAACAUGAUAAGAGGCUGUUGGUGAAAUUACAGACUGCAGGCAGCCCUUAAUGGAGUUCAACGCAGGGUUGAGGGAAGUGAGGUCAGUCAGUCGUCGAAGACUUCUUCUACUGACACCGAUGCUUCCUACAUUCCUGAACACCGAUGUCGACGGCCAAUGAUUUUACAACCUCUGCACGGCGGACAGAUUCAACUUCAUUGUGCUCCGUCCACAGAUCAUUCAUUUUAAUGAUGAUGUACUGAUGACGAUAACAAAGCACAAUGAAAUCAGUCCGCGCCAAUACAAACACAGAGUCAAAGACUGUGAACCCUGCGUACUGGGCUAACCGCGCUCAUUAGCAUUAAAUAAACACAACUCUGUGCUGGAAACCUGUUUAGUGUAUGCAUAUUUCACAGGGGCCGAGACACUUCAUCGGACAUUCAACCCGCAUACGGUAACGAUAAGAUCAAGGCAGAGCAAAACCAAACCACACGAACCUCUUAUAUAUUACAUCGUGUCCUAAAAGCCGGAAGACUCGGGGCUUUAAACCUUUCUCAGGUUUGAUUUAUGGAUCAUUCAGACCUCACUUUGGUUCAAAUCUGCAGAAGUUUCAGGAUAAAACAGAUUCAACGUACAUCUCUCUAAUUCUAACCAACUGUAACGUCGUAGUGUUUAUGCGUCUAAUGCACCUUUUUUUCUAUAUGCAAUCAACUGUAAGUUCCCACUUAUAAAUCUUUCCAUUCCCGGUGGCCGCCGGCCCACAGGGGCGUCGGCUUGUCCGUCAGGUUCCUCACCUCACGUCAUAAAUUGUGUGCCAUCUGAGCUCAAUCCGUCCUCCGUGUCCAUGAAGCGCCAAGGCUAGCUCAAGGCCUCGGUAGCCACAAGUGGUCUGGUAUAAAAAUGCAGUGUGGAUGUGCUGUUUGUGCAUGUGUGAAUGUUCAGCAGCAAAUUUUAAUUUUCACAUUUCUGCACAGCAGAUGUUUCAGCAUCACCUGACACGAACACACCUGAUGUAGUGAUAAAAAAGAAAAACAGUGACGAGAACAGGAACAGGGUUUCGGUUCUUCUUGUUAAAUUGUCCUAGUGGUGUUAUACUACACAGUAUUUGUCAGUGGCAAACUGACGGCCUGACCUUUGUCACUAGAUGAUUAACCUCAAUCAAUCAUGAUUAAUCACGGUAAAUUAGAAUUGUAAUUAAUGAAGCUCCCCUGUUACUAAUCUGAUUUUUUUUAAAUAUUUUUUAUUAUAGCCAUAAGUUGGUUUCAUAGUUUUUACUAUUAUAAUAUUUAUAAGAUGAUAAUUUAGGUUUUAUUUUAGUUUUUUUUUUUUUUUUUUAGUUUUUUUAAUGUGUUUAAACCAACCGUCGUUGCAACUCUCAGAUCUUUCUUCAAACAUUUACCCUGAAUGAUAUUAUCCUGCAUGUGUAUACAUGCACUGUCUUUGAGUACACGUACACACCACAGUGGCAGUUCACCACUCCACAAUAAACACCUAUGAAUUGGUCUUUUUUUUAAAAACAGUAGCGGAGGCUGAAUGCCAAGAAUCUGGUAUCAUCUUAAGGCCGACUGCGUCAUUAACUCUGCCUCAGGUUAAAACCUGUCACCUCUGUGAAGCGCUUCAUCUUUAUUGGCUAAACAGUGAAAUAAAAACACAGUAAUGUUGGUGAAGUGCACAUGGAACUGACACUCAGGACAUGAGCUGUACAUAAUGAAGAGUUUGUCGAUGAUGGAUGCUACAGUCAUAGCACUGACAUCACAUCCAUCUGGCAGUCUUAAUGCAGUGAUGUGGGGAAAAAUGCACUAUAGCAAAUUCUCAUAUGAAAUUGCUGAUAAGAAUUGUCUUAGGAAGAAAACCUGAAAAGAAAUAAACAAUAAUAAUUGUAUCGUUUUACUGCCAGAACUUGUUUAAAUGAAGUCAAAUCAAAACCAAAAGAAAAAAAUAUAUAAAGCAGAAAUACAAAAAAUCUGAUUUAGUUGUAAUAGAAAAAUAAUUGAGA